This 301-nucleotide ribosomal RNA is filed under the name uncultured bacterium. Its description in RNAcentral is "partial 16S ribosomal RNA". It matches the Rfam family "Bacterial small subunit ribosomal RNA", at positions 509 to 807 of the family's 1533-position model. The record is from RNAcentral.
CAGUAGCCGCGGUAAUACGAAGGGGGCUAGCGUUGUUCGGAUUUACUGGGCGUAAAGCGCACGUAGGCGGAUCGUUAAGUCGGGGGUGAAAUCCUGGAGCUCAACUCCAGAACUGCCUUCGAUACUGGCGAUCUAGAGUACGGGAGAGGUGAGUGGAACUCCGAGUGUAGAGGUGAAAUUCGUAGAUAUUCGGAAGAACACCGGUGGCGAAGGCGACUCACUGGCCCGUUACUGACGCUGAGGCGCGAAAGCGUGGGGAGCAAACAGGAUUAGAUACCCCCGUAGUCCCUGUCUCUUAUAC